GAAUUAAUUAACCAAUCCCACCCAAAGAAACUCUACGAAGUUAGUAAACAGUUAGUGCACCAAGGAUCCGGCAUUAAUUAACCAAUCCCACCCAAAGAAACUCUACGAAGUUAGUAAACAGUUAGUGCACCAAGGAUCCGGCAUUCACGCAGAGUACGGAGAAGGACCGCAUAUUAAGGGGUGUGAUGUAGACAAUCUACCCUAAUGCACGCAUUAAUGGCUGCUUCCACAGCUCGAACUGGUCACAGGGAGACAACUUUACCGUUGCUCCAAGGCUCCAAGACAAUUUUACAGAGUUAGUAAACAGUGUCCAAAAUUCUAACAAGAACCUGGCAUUGCCCAUCUUCCCAAGUGAAAGCUUUUUAAUGCAAGUCAAGGCAUGUUAACCACCAAGUUACCGACCCUCUCAAAUUCACAUAAAAAUCAAAGUAAGGAGCAUAAUAAAUUUGCAAAUCGGAUCCCCUGUACUUUGUCACCACAUAUGAGAAGAUGAAACAGAAAAAAAAAAGAUCAAGAAGCUGAUAGUAAGCACCAAGAGCAAACACAGUACCGAAUUCUUGGACAGUGACCCUAAUGGGCUUGAACUGGUAAGCAAAAUUCCACUUUCCAUGAAUGGGUCCAAUCCACUAUGAAAAAUUAUGUAAACACUUGUAAAGCUUAGAGAAAUCAGUAAUAAAAGUUCAAAUUCAAGCUGUCACUCUUUAAUAUCUGCUUCAUACACUUGUCUUUUUAGGAUAAAUGGAGAAGGUCAGCAAUUAUGAGCUUAGAUACUUAAACAGGAAAAAGUCAGAGAGG
Molecule: long non-coding RNA, 795 nt
Filed under: Nicotiana tabacum (common tobacco)
Lineage: Eukaryota; Viridiplantae; Streptophyta; Magnoliopsida; Solanales; Solanaceae
Description: long non-coding RNA (NTAB_LNC012386)
Source: RNAcentral